Molecule: ribosomal RNA, 58 nt
Filed under: Kohleria peruviana
Lineage: Eukaryota; Viridiplantae; Streptophyta; Magnoliopsida; Lamiales; Gesneriaceae
Description: partial 18S ribosomal RNA
Source: RNAcentral
UUUAGAAAGGGGGUGGGUAACAAAGGUUUCCGUAGGUGAACCUGCGGAAGGAUCAUUG